This 274-nucleotide long non-coding RNA is filed under the name Mytilus galloprovincialis (Mediterranean mussel). The record is from RNAcentral. Lineage: Eukaryota; Metazoa; Mollusca; Bivalvia; Mytilida; Mytilidae.
UGCUUAUUAAUUUAUCAAACUAAUGGCGUAUAUUUCUGAUCAAAAGAAGAUGUAACGUAACGUUCACGUUAAAACCUGGACAUUUUAUAAAAUACUCUGCUUACUGUCUGACAAGAGAUAGGCGAAAGAUAACAAAACAAUAUCAAAACUCAUAUUCGAAGACAAACUGACGAUGCCAUGGCAAAAAAACAAAAACAAAAGAAAAAAAUGAAGAGAAGCCAAACGCACAAGUUAACACAUACUAUAGAAAACUAAAGACUGAACAACAACGAAC